Molecule: ribosomal RNA, 496 nt
Filed under: uncultured bacterium
Lineage: Bacteria
Description: partial 16S ribosomal RNA
Rfam family: Bacterial small subunit ribosomal RNA
Source: RNAcentral
AUGAACGCUGGCGGCGUGCCUAAUACCUGCAAGUCGAGCGAACAGAUGAGGAGCUUGCUCCUCUGACGUUAGCGGCGGACGGGUGAGUAACACGUGGAUAACCUACCUAUAAGACUGGGAUAACUUCGGGAAACCGGAGCUAAUACCGGAUAAUAUAUUGAACCGCAUGGUUCAAUAGUGAAAGACGGUUUUGCUGUCACUUAUAGAUGGAUCCGCGCCGCAUUAGCUAGUUGGUAAGGUAACGGCUUACCAAGGCAACGAUGCGUAGCCGACCUGAGAGGGUGAUCGGCCACACUGGAACUGAGACACGGUCCAGACUCCUACGGGAGGCAGCAGUAGGGAAUCUUCCGCAAAGGGCGAAAGCCUGACGGAGCAACGCCGCGUGAGUGAUGAAGGUCUUCGGAUCGUAAAACUCUGUUAUUAGGGAAGAACAAAUGUGUAAGUAACUAUGCACGUCUUGACGGUACCUAAUCAGAAAGCCACGGCUAACUACGUG